RNAcentral lists this ribosomal RNA (484 nucleotides) under uncultured bacterium. Its description in RNAcentral is "partial 16S ribosomal RNA". It matches the Rfam family "Bacterial small subunit ribosomal RNA", at positions 28 to 523 of the family's 1533-position model. The record is from RNAcentral.
GAUGAACGCUGGCGGCGUGCUUAACACAUGCAAGUCGAACGGUGAAGCAGGAGCUUGCUCUUGUGGAUCAGUGGCGAACGGGUGAGUAACACGUGAGCAACCUGCCCCUGACUCUGGGAUAAGCGCUGGAAACGGCGUCUAAUACUGGAUAUGUGAUGUGACCGCAUGGUCUGCAUCUGGAAAGAAUUUCGGUUGGGGAUGGGCUCGCGGCCUAUCAGCUUGUUGGUGAGGUAAUGGCUCACCAAGGCGUCGACGGGUAGCCGGACUGAGAGGGGGAGCGGACACACUGGGACUGCAACACGGCCCAGACUCGUACGGGAGGCAGCAGUGGGGAGUAUUGCACAAUGGGCGGAAGCCUGAUGCAGCAACGCCGCGUGAGGGAUGACGGCCUGCGGGUUGUAAACCUCUGUUAGCAGGGAAGAAGCGAAAGUGACGGUACCUGCAGAAAAAGCACCGGCUAACUACGUGCCAGCCGCCGCGGUAA